RNAcentral lists this ribosomal RNA (631 nucleotides) under uncultured bacterium. Its description in RNAcentral is "bacterial SSU rRNA". It matches the Rfam family "Bacterial small subunit ribosomal RNA", at positions 253 to 882 of the family's 1533-position model. The record is from RNAcentral.
GGGGGUAACGGCCACCCAAGGCUUACGAUCGGUAGGGGUUCUGAGAGGAAGGCCCCCCACAAUGGGACUGAGACACGGCCCAUACUCCUACGGGAGGCAGCAGUGAGGAAUAUUGGUCAAUGGGCGGAAGCCUGAACCAGCCAUGCCGCGUGCGGGAAGGAGGCCCUAUGGGCUGUGAACCGCUUUUGCCUGGGGGCAAUAAGGGCGUCGCGCACGUCCGAUGAGAGUACCAGGCGAAUAAGCAUCGGCUAACUCCGUGCCAGCAGCCGCGGUAAUACGGGGGAUGCGAGCGUUAUCCGGAUUCAUUGGGUUUAAAGGGUGCGUAGGCUGUGCGUCAAGUCGGGGGUGAAAUUCCGGUGCUCAACACCGGGGCUGCCCUUGAUACUGUCGCGCUGGAGUGCGGAUGCCGCCGGAGGAAUGAGUGGUGUAGCGGUGAAAUGCUUAGAUAUCACUCAGAACACCGAUUGCGAAGGCAUCUGGCGAAUCCGUAACUGACGCUGAGGCACGAAAGCGUGGGGAUAGAACAGGAUUAGAUACCCUGGUAUUCCACGCCGUAAACGAUGAUGGCUAACCGCCGGCGACACACUGUCGGUGGCCAAGCGAAAGCGAUAAGCCAUCCACCUGGGGAGUA